RNAcentral lists this transfer RNA (78 nucleotides) under Sideroxydans sp. RNAcentral describes it as "tRNA-Pro". It matches the Rfam family "tRNA". From Rfam's summary of the family: Transfer RNA (tRNA) molecules are approximately 80 nucleotides in length. Their secondary structure includes four short double-helical elements and three loops (D, anti-codon, and T loops). Further hydrogen bonds mediate the characteristic L-shaped molecular structure. tRNAs have two regions of fundamental functional importance: the anti-codon, which is responsible for specific mRNA codon recognition, and the 3' end, to which the tRNAs corresponding amino acid is attached (by aminoacyl-tRNA synthetases). tRNAs cope with the degeneracy of the genetic code in two manners: having more than one tRNA (with a specific anti-codon) for a particular amino acid; and 'wobble' base-pairing, i.e. permitting non-standard base-pairing at the 3rd anti-codon position. Lineage: Bacteria; Pseudomonadati; Pseudomonadota; Betaproteobacteria; Nitrosomonadales; Gallionellaceae. RNAcentral also lists the same sequence under 1 other name. The record is from RNAcentral.
CGGUGUGUAGCUCAGCCUGGUCAGAGCACUGCGUUUGGGACGCAGUGGCCCGAAGUUCGAAUCUUCGUACACCGACCA